Molecule: long non-coding RNA, 857 nt
Organism: Ictalurus punctatus (channel catfish)
Lineage: Eukaryota; Metazoa; Chordata; Actinopteri; Siluriformes; Ictaluridae
Source: Ensembl
CAGAGACGGAACUUUCCGUCGUGUUCAGAACCGCUUUAAAAUAACGCACGCCCAUGAGUUUAAUCCUGGAGUCGGAAGAUGAGUCAGAAGUGUGUGUGUGAGACGGCGAGUUCGAUUUCAUGCUGAAGUUCCAUUCGAUCAGGGAUUAAUGAGACGAUGUUGACUGUGAGCGAGGCUGCGUUCAGACGCUCGGUAUCGUGGAAUAACCCGGGCUCAUUUCUGCCACUACAUCAUUUAACACAUGGGUUCAAAUAUAGAACUGUAACGAUACGAUCGAAUCCAACGUCAUCAUCAUUCACUCAUUACCACCAUCACUACCACCAUCAUUACCACCAUCACUACCACCAUCAUUACCACCAUCACUACCACCAUCACCCACACCAUCAUUAACACCAUCACUACCACCAUCAUUACCACCAUCACUACCACCAUCACUACCACCAUCACUACCACCAUCACUACCACCAUCACCCACACCAUCAUUAACACCAUCACUACCACCAUCAUUACCACCAUCACUACCACCAUCAUUACCACCAUCACCCACACCAUCAUUAACACCAUCACUACCACCAUCAUUACCACCAUCACUACCACCAUCAUUACCACCAUCAUUUACACCAUCACUACCACCAUCACUACCACCAUCAUUACCACCAUCACUACCACCAUCACUACCACCAUCAUUAACCACCAUCACCCACACCAUCAUUACCACCAUCAUUUACACCAUCACUACCACCAUCACUACCACCAUCAUUACCACCAUCACUACCACCAUCAUUACCACCAUCAUUUACACCAUCACUCACUCAUUAACACCAUCACUACCACCAUCAUUACCACCAUCACUCACU